UUUUAUCUUCCAUCUCUAUUUUGCCAAUUUGUUUAUACAACAUAGAAUAAUAUAUAUCUUUGUUUAAUCCAUGUCAAUAUAUAUUUUAUUUUUUAUAUUAUUUGAAUAAAACAUUCAAAAACAUGAACAUCUAAAAACAUAAAAAAUAAAAUCAAUGUUUAAAGUAUAAAAUAAAAA
RNAcentral lists this unclassified non-coding RNA (177 nucleotides) under Borreliella garinii. RNAcentral's name for it is "partial 5S-23S ribosomal RNA intergenic spacer". Lineage: Bacteria; Pseudomonadati; Spirochaetota; Spirochaetia; Spirochaetales; Borreliaceae. The record is from RNAcentral.